AGCUGAUGAGUUGAUCACUCACACAGCAGUCCAAGCUUCCUGAAAGUGGGAAAUGGGGGAGAGAAGCUGAAAAAUCCAGGGGCUUGAGUAAUCCCCAAGAAACAGCAGAUACACCACCUGUUUGUUUGCACCCUACUUUGAGAGCCAUUCAUUGAUUUUUGCUGGACAGUCAUUCACAAGGAAGGAAGGCAGGUAGAAGAAAAUGAACCAACAUGUUUCCUCAGACGCACAGCUACAAGCUUCUUAAACUGAUCUUCACUUCAGCACAAGCCGCAGAAGCUUCACACUCAGCAGAGAAUUCCCAAUGAGGCCUUGGGAACACUCAGCACCUGCCUUCAACAAAUUAAUCCCUCAGGAGAUAAGAAUCCAACAUCUUAGAAGGAAUGAAAACCUUUUACUCCAUCAACUCUCUCCCACAAGGUACAUCUUGCUAUCACAUCCCUACAUCCAGAGCUGCAGAGGAGCUUUCUCAAACCCUAAAACUCUGCAGAGAACACCUGAAAUUUUGCUUGACUCUAACCUCAAGGUCCCCAUCCUUCGGAUGUUGGAGCAAUCCCACCUCCUUGCUCAUCACGCAGUGUAAGAGGAGCUGAACCUGGUCUGUGGUGUCU
This 611-nucleotide long non-coding RNA is filed under the name Zonotrichia albicollis (white-throated sparrow). Its description in RNAcentral is "lncRNA (ENSZALG00000015170.1)". Lineage: Eukaryota; Metazoa; Chordata; Aves; Passeriformes; Passerellidae. The record is from RNAcentral.